CUAAUUGAAUCUUAAUCAAAUACUAAAUCAAAUAUUAAUUCAAAUCUUAAUUAAAAUUUAAUAAAAUUUUAGAUCAAAUUCUAAUCAAAUCCUAAUCAAAUCUUAAAUCUUAGACAAAUCAUAAAUAAGUUCUAAACCAAAUCCUAAUCAAAUUCUAAUCUUAACCAAAUCCUAAAUCAAAUCCUAAAUCAAACCCUAAACCAAAUCCUAAUCAAAUCCUACAUCUUAAAUAAAUUCUUAGUAAAUCUUAUAGCAAAAUAGAAUCUCAACAACUAAUGAUCAAAUUGUUGAUAUCAACUCAAAAUUUGCACACUUCUUAGUUUGAAACAAACACAAGAAAGAUGAAAUUGAUUAUACUUACAAAUUGAGAGAAAUACAAGAUAAUCUAAUCAAGUAUUGGACAACCUCU
This 409-nucleotide long non-coding RNA is filed under the name Physcomitrium patens. RNAcentral's name for it is "long non-coding RNA (PPAT_LNC004100)". The record is from RNAcentral. Lineage: Eukaryota; Viridiplantae; Streptophyta; Bryopsida; Funariales; Funariaceae.